MicroRNA precursor from Operophtera brumata (winter moth), 97 nucleotides. It matches the Rfam family "mir-210 microRNA precursor family". The record is from Rfam. Lineage: Eukaryota; Metazoa; Arthropoda; Insecta; Lepidoptera; Geometridae.
AUGAAGCCCAAAACAGCUGCUGGCCACUGCUCAAGAUUAGUGUGGACAUACUCUUGUGCGUGUGACAGCGGCUAUUGCGGGCGAUUCAUUGCCGUCG